This 624-nucleotide ribosomal RNA is filed under the name uncultured bacterium. Its description in RNAcentral is "bacterial SSU rRNA". It matches the Rfam family "Bacterial small subunit ribosomal RNA", at positions 134 to 734 of the family's 1533-position model. The record is from RNAcentral.
AGGAUGGGGACAACAGACGGAAACGACUGCUAAUACCGAAUACGCUUGGAAGACCGCACGAUCUUCCAAGGAAAGGGUGGCCUCUACCUGUAAGCUAUCGCCUGAAGAGGGGUUUGCGUCUGAUUAGGCAGUUGGUGAGGCAACGGCCCACCAAACCUACGAUCAGUAGCCGGUCUGAGAGGAUGAACGGCCACACUGGAACUGAGACACGGUCCAGACUCCUACGGGAGGCAGCAGUGGGGAAUCUUCCGCAAUGGGCGAAAGCCUGACGGAGCAACGCCGCGUGAGUGAUGACGGCCUUCGGGUUGUAAAGCUCUGUGAUCGGGGACGAACGGUCCGUAAGCCAAUACCUUAUGGAAGUGACGGUACCCGAAUAGCAAGCCACGGCUAACUACGUGCCAGCAGCCGCGGUAAUACGUAGGUGGCAAGCGUUGUCCGGAAUUAUUGGGCGUAAAGCGCGCGCAGGCGGCUUUUUAAGUCCAUCUUAAAAGUGCGGGGCUUAACCCCGUGAUGGGAUGGAAACUGGAAAGCUGGAGUAUCGGAGAGGAAAGUGGAAUUCCUAGUGUAGCGGUGAAAUGCGUAGAGAUUAGGAAGAACACCGGUGGCGAAGGCGACUUUCUGGAC